CUGGGCUUGCGCCGCUAGUGCCUGCUCCCGCGUUCCGGGAGGAGGCUAAGGAGGCGGUGGCUUAGGGCACUCCCUUCCUGGGCCACAGUGUGCCACCGGGGGCGCUGCCGCCGCCUGGUCUCUCAGUGCUGCCAGGAAAACAGCUGGGGCUGAGAGGGAGAGUCAUUUCGCAAACCUGCUUCUGGGAACAAAGCAUAAAGUACAAGCUGGGAGGCGUGGCAUUCAGAUGAGAUCUUGCUGUGUUGCCCAUGCUCACCUGGACUCUGGUCUACGUCACUCAGCCUCCCAAGCAGCUGGAAUUGCAGAAUUGCACCACCAACCACAGCUGGCUAAAUCAAGGAUAUUAUUGCUGGGGAUCAAGCUUAGAGCCCCAGACUAACUAAGCAAGCACGCUGUCACUGAGUAUAUCUGUUUUGUUCCUUAUGCGGAACCUCAACCUUCUAGAAAAAGAAGAGCAGGAGA
Long non-coding RNA from Fukomys damarensis (Damara mole-rat), 462 nucleotides. RefSeq lists it as uncharacterized. The record is from RefSeq and is a predicted model, not a curated record. The transcript has 3 exons. NCBI's taxonomy places the organism in Eukaryota, Metazoa, Chordata, Mammalia, Rodentia, Bathyergidae.